GGGACUGGCUCGUUUCACUGUGAGCGUCUGGGGGACUGGCUCGUGUCACUGUGUGUGUCUGGGGGACUGACUCGUUUCACUGUCUGUGUCUGGGGGACUGACUCGUUUCACUGUCUGUGUCUGGGGGACUGACUCGUUUCACUGUCUGUGUCUGGGGGACUGACUCGUUUCACUGUCUGUGUCUGGGGGACUGACUCGUUUCACUGUCUGUGUCUGGGGGACUGACUCGUUUCACUGUCUGUGUCUGGGGGACUGACUCGUUUCACUGUCUGUGUCUGGGGGACUGACUCGUUUCACUGUCUGUGUCUGGGGGACUGACUCGUUUCACUGUCUGUGUCUGGGGGACUGACUCGUUUCACUGUCUGUGUCUGGGGGACUGGCUCGUUUGAUUGUCCACGUCUGGGGCACUGACUCGUUUCACUGUGAGCAUCUGGGGGAUUGGCUCGUUUCACUCUGAGCGUCUGGGGGACUGGCUCGUUUCACUGUGAGCGUCUGGGGGACUGGCUCUAUUCACUGUGAGCGUCUGGAGGAUUGACUCGUUUCACUGUCUGUGUCUGGGGGACUGGCUCGUUUCACUAUGCGUCUGGGGGACUGGCUCGUUUCACUCUGCGUCUGGGGGACUGGCUCGUUUCACUGUGCGCGUCUGGGGGACUGGCUCGUUUCACUGUCUGCGUCUGGGGGACUGGCUCGUUUCACUGUGCGCGUCUGGGGGACUGGCUCGUUUCACUAUGCGUCUGGGGGACUGGCUCGUUUCACUGUCUGCGUCUGGGGGACUGGCUCGUUUCACUAUGCGUCUGGGGGACUGGCUCGUUUCACUGUGCGCGUCUGGGGGACUGGCUCGUUUCACUAUGCGUCUGGGGGACUGGCUCGUUUCACUAUGCGUCUGGGGGACUGGCUCGUUUCACUCUGCGUCUGGGGGACUGGCUCGUUUCACGAUGCGUCUGGGGGACUGGCUCGUUUCACGAUGCGUCUGGGGGACUGGCUCGUUUCACUCUGCGUCUGGGGGACUGGCUCGUUUCCCUGUCUGUGUCUGGGGGACUGGCUCGUUUCACUAUGCGUCUGGGGGACUGGCUCGUUUCACUGUGAGCGUCUGGGGGACUGGCUUGUUUCACUGUGGGCAUCUGGGGGACUGGCUCGUUUCACUAUGCGUCUGGGGGACUGGCUCGUUUCACUAUGCGUCUGGGGGACUGGCUCGUUUCACUGUGCGCGUCUGGGGGACUGGCUCGUUUCACUGUGGGCGUCUGGGGGACUGACUCGUUUCACUGUCUGCGUCUGGGGGACUGGCUCGUUUCACUGUGGGCAUCUGGGGGACUGGCUUGUUUCACUGUCUGCGUCUGGGGGACUGGCUCGUUUCACUGUGAGCGUCUGGGGGACUGGCUCGUUUCACUGUCUGCGUCUGGGGGACUGGCUCGUUUCACUGUCUGCGUCUGGGGGACUGGCUCGUUUCACUGUCUGCGUCUGGGGGACUGGCUCGUUUCACUGUGGGCAUCUGGGGGACUGGCUUGUUUCACUGUCUGCGUCUGGGGGACUGGCUCGUUUCACUGUCUGCGUCUGGGGGACUGGCUCGUUUCACUGUCUGCGUCUGGGGGACUGGCUUGUUUCACUGUCUGCGUCUGGGGGACUGGCUCGUUUCACUGUCUGCGUCUGGUGGACUGACUCGUUUCACUGUGGGCAUCUGGGGGACUGGCUUGUUUCACUGUCUGCGUCUGGGGGACUGGCUUGUUUCACUGUGGGCAUCUGGGGGACUGGCUUGUUUCACUGUCUGCGUCUGGGGGACUGGCUUGUUUCACUGUCUGCGUCUGGGGGACUGGCUCGUUUCACUGUGCCCGUCUGGGUGACUGUCUCGUUUCACUGUGCCCGUCUGGGUGACUGUCUCGUUUCACUGUGCCCGUCUGGGUGACUGUCUCGUUUCACUGUGCCCGUCUGGGGGACUGGCUCGUUUCACUGUGCCCGUCUGGGGGACUGGCUCGUUUCACUGUGCCCGUCUGGGGGACUGGCUCGUUUCACUGUGCCCGUCUGGGUGACUGUCUCGUUUCACUGUGCCCGUCUGGGUGACUGUCUCGUUUCACAUCACUUGUCCAGGGGACUGGUUACUUUCAUUGUGCGUGUCCAGGAGACUGGCCUUAUCAAUUUUGAGAGCCAGGUGUUAUGUUUGUCAAAGUUCAUUGACACCUGAAGAGGCACCCUCACCCUCUCCUAUGAUUAGAUUGUGUCAAUCAGCAAGUUGUUAUUCAAAGCCUGGAAGCUGGUGUUAAAGGGCCUGACACUUUAUUUGGUUUGGUUAGCUUUUUAAUAUCCGCCUUUUUUUCCGUCAUUUAAGCAACUAUGUGAAAUCGAUGGUGGAGUUGAGUCAGUGCAGAUAAUAGCGGCUCGAGUUAUUUAUGCUGAGGAAUUGUUACUGGCUUGCAGAGAUCAUCAACCCUGAGUUCUUCAACUCGGUUUGUUACUGUUUUUUUGUUGUCUGGUAUUUUUAUGAUUUGUUAAAUACACUGCAAAAUGCAGGACCAGAAAGGUCAGUACAGCUAUGCCCCAAAGUUAAUGCACCACCAUUGGCUAUUCCUUCCAAUUCUCCUGCAAUGUCUGGCUGGCUCACACCCUCCCCAAAUAUUCCAUUGUAUUCUCUUCCUCAUCCUGAGUUUAGAUUGAGCUAUGAUCUGGGCUCAGUUUACCUGCUUCUUAAGAACCUUGAAUUCAUCAAUGAUUGUUGCCCUUAUCCCUUUCUUGACCCAAUCUUGGGUUCUUCACACACUCCUCACUGCUCAGGUUCAGUGUCUUUUCUCAGCAAAGUGUCCAAUACCUGAAUAUCUUUCCUCUGACGGCAAGCAGAAUCGUACAUCGGGCUCUGGGUGUGGCGGCUUUGUGCCAAUACAGAUCUAUCUCUUCCAGGAUUUGUGCCCACUUCCUCCACCUAUUUAUUCCCAAAUCCAAUUAACUUCUUGUGCUGUGACACGUGCUACUUGGUUCUUUCCAGUGAGGUGUUAAAACUGAGGCCCCAUCUAUUUCUUAUGCUCCCUGUCGAUCAUUAUGAUCCCGUAGCACUAUUUGCCAUCCUCCUGGCCAACCAGCAGCACUAAAAAUGCGUUCACUACUCAUUCAUCUCAUUUCCCAUUAAUGGGAUCUUGCUGAGCACAAUACUGACAGUCACUGCACCUGGACAAGUAGCAAAUUGAAUGUGUUGUACUUUGGGGAGCCGUAGUGAAUGCAUCUUUGUUCUUCUUUCAGUUAACCUGUCUUCAUACAGUCAUUUGAAAUUGUAUUAUGCUGGCUUCAUCUAGUAAGCAGUUUGCAGUGUUAUGAGCAGGGAGGAUAGAUUGUUAUAACUGUUGUUAGUAUUGGAGUAAGGUUUUGUUUCAGGUUGCUGUUGAAGUUGUUUUCGAUUGAAGAUUCCAAAGGCACUGAAAUGUAUUCCUGAUGACGAGCAGUCAGCAGAAUUAUUUUUAAGUUAUGAGGGCAUGAAUGUAUAAAUAUAAAUGCCAGAUACAAAGCAUCUGCAGUAACUCUGUCCAGAUUGAACAUUAAAGAACACUAGACAGAUCACUUCUGGAAGGCACUGAGCGUUAUUUAUGCUGGAGUGUGUAAUGCAGUUGGUGCAAGCAGGCGUUGGAGUCAACAUCGCAACAUCACGAUUUGCUCAGACUCCAGCCCACAUUGCAGCUUUUGGAGGGCAUCC
Molecule: RNA transcript, 3670 nt
Organism: Carcharodon carcharias (great white shark)
Lineage: Eukaryota; Metazoa; Chordata; Chondrichthyes; Lamniformes; Lamnidae
Gene name: ankyrin repeat domain-containing protein 10-like
Exons: 2
Source: RefSeq, a predicted model, not a curated record